ACGAACGCUGGCGGCGCGCCUAACACAUGCAAGUCGAACGAGAGAUGAGGAGCUCGCUCUUCAAAUCGAGUGGCGAACGGGUGAGUAACGCGUGAGGAACCUGCCUCAAAGAGGGGGACAACAGUUGGAAACGACUGCUAAUACCGCAUAAGCCCACGGCUCGGCAUCGAGCAGAGGGAAAAGGAGCAAUCCGCUUUGAGAUGGCCUCGCGUCCGAUUAGCUAGUUGGUGAGGUAACGGCCCACCAAGGCGACGAUCGGUAGCCGGACUGAGAGGUUGAACGGCCACAUUGGGACUGAGACACGGCCCAGACUCCUACGGGAGGCAGCAGUGGGGAAUAUUGCACAAUGGGGGAAACCCUGAUGCAGCGACGCCGCGUGGAGGAAGAAGGUCUUCGGAUUGUAAACUCCUGUUGUUGAGGAAGAUAAUGACGGUACUCAACAAGGAAGUGACGGCUAACUACGUGCCAGCAGCCGCGGUAAAACGUAGGUCACAAGCGUUGUCCGGAAUUACUGGGUGUAAAGGGAGCGCAGGCGGGAGAACAAGUUGGAAGUGAAAUCCAUGGGCUCAACCCAUGAACUGCUUUCAAAACUGUUUUUCUUGAGUAGUGCAGAGGUAGGCGGAAUUCCCGGUGUAGCGGUGGAAUGCGUAGAUAUCGGGAGGAACACCAGUGGCGAAGGCGGCCUACUGGGCACCAACUGACGCUGAGGCUCGAAAGUGUGGGUAGCAAACAGGAUUAGAUACCCUGGUAGUCCACACCGUAAACGAUGAUUACUAGGUGUUGGAGGAUUGACCCCUUCAGUGCCGCAGUUAACACAAUAAGUAAUCCACCUGGGGAGUACGACCGCAAGGUUGAAACUCAAAGGAAUUGACGGAA
RNAcentral lists this ribosomal RNA (876 nucleotides) under uncultured bacterium. Its description in RNAcentral is "bacterial SSU rRNA". It matches the Rfam family "Bacterial small subunit ribosomal RNA", at positions 29 to 918 of the family's 1533-position model. The record is from RNAcentral.